RNAcentral lists this ribosomal RNA (2900 nucleotides) under Klebsiella pneumoniae. RNAcentral describes it as "bacterial LSU rRNA". It matches the Rfam family "Bacterial large subunit ribosomal RNA". The record is from RNAcentral. Lineage: Bacteria; Pseudomonadati; Pseudomonadota; Gammaproteobacteria; Enterobacterales; Enterobacteriaceae.
GGGUUGUGAGGUUAAGCGACUAAGCGUACACGGUGGAUGCCCUGGCAGUCAGAGGCGAUGAAGGACGUGCUAAUCUGCGAAAAGCGUCGGUAAGGUGAUAUGAACCGUUACAGCCGGCGAUGUCCGAAUGGGGAAACCCAGUGCAAUUCGUUGCACUAUCGUUAACUGAAUACAUAGGUUAACGAGGCGAACCGGGGGAACUGAAACAUCUAAGUACCCCGAGGAAAAGAAAUCAACCGAGAUUCCCCCAGUAGCGGCGAGCGAACGGGGAGCAGCCCAGAGUCUGAAUCAGCUUGUGUGUUAGUGGAACGGUCUGGAAAGUCCGACGGUACAGGGUGAUAGUCCCGUACACCAAAAUGCACAGGUUGUGAACUCGAAGAGUAGGGCGGGACACGUGGUAUCCUGUCUGAAUAUGGGGGGACCAUCCUCCAAGGCUAAAUACUCCUGACUGACCGAUAGUGAACCAGUACCGUGAGGGAAAGGCGAAAAGAACCCCGGCGAGGGGAGUGAAAAAGAACCUGAAACCGUGUACGUACAAGCAGUGGGAGCACCUUCGGGUGUGACUGCGUACCUUUUGUAUAAUGGGUCAGCGACUUAUAUUCUGUAGCAAGGUUAACCGUAUAGGGGAGCCGCAGGGAAACCGAGUCUUAACUGGGCGUUAAGUUGCAGGGUAUAGACCCGAAACCCGGUGAUCUAGCCAUGGGCAGGUUGAAGGUUGGGUAACACUAACUGGAGGACCGAACCGACUAAUGUUGAAAAAUUAGCGGAUGACUUGUGGCUGGGGGUGAAAGGCCAAUCAAACCGGGAGAUAGCUGGUUCUCCCCGAAAGCUAUUUAGGUAGCGCCUCGUGAACUCAUCUUCGGGGGUAGAGCACUGUUUCGGCUAGGGGGUCAUCCCGACUUACCAACCCGAUGCAAACUACGAAUACCGAAGAAUGUUAUCACGGGAGACACACGGCGGGUGCUAACGUCCGUCGUGAAGAGGGAAACAACCCAGACCGCCAGCUAAGGUCCCAAAGUCAUGGUUAAGUGGGAAACGAUGUGGGAAGGCACAGACAGCCAGGAUGUUGGCUUAGAAGCAGCCAUCAUUUAAAGAAAGCGUAAUAGCUCACUGGUCGAGUCGGCCUGCGCGGAAGAUGUAACGGGGCUAAACCAUGCACCGAAGCUGCGGCAGCGACACUAUGUGUUGUUGGGUAGGGGAGCGUUCUGUAAGCCUGCGAAGGUGUGCUGUGAGGCAUGCUGGAGGUAUCAGAAGUGCGAAUGCUGACAUAAGUAACGAUAAAGCGGGUGAAAAGCCCGCUCGCCGGAAGACCAAGGGUUCCUGUCCAACGUUAAUCGGGGCAGGGUGAGUCGACCCCUAAGGCGAGGCCGAAAGGCGUAGUCGAUGGGAAACAGGUUAAUAUUCCUGUACUUGGUGUUACUGCGAAGGGGGGACGGAGAAGGCUAUGUUAGCCGGGCGACGGUUGUCCCGGUUUAAGCAUGUAGGCUGGUUAUCCAGGCAAAUCCGGAUAAUCAAGGCUGAGGUGUGAUGACGAGGCACUACGGUGCUGAAGUAACAAAUGCCCUGCUUCCAGGAAAAGCCUCUAAGCAUCAGGUAACAUCAAAUCGUACCCCAAACCGACACAGGUGGUCAGGUAGAGAAUACCAAGGCGCUUGAGAGAACUCGGGUGAAGGAACUAGGCAAAAUGGUGCCGUAACUUCGGGAGAAGGCACGCUGGUGUGUAGGUGAAGUCCCUGCGGAUGGAGCUGAGACCAGUCGAAGAUACCAGCUGGCUGCAACUGUUUAUUAAAAACACAGCACUGUGCAAACACGAAAGUGGACGUAUACGGUGUGACGCCUGCCCGGUGCCGGAAGGUUAAUUGAUGGGGUUAUCCGUAAGGAGAAGCUCUUGAUCGAAGCCCCGGUAAACGGCGGCCGUAACUAUAACGGUCCUAAGGUAGCGAAAUUCCUUGUCGGGUAAGUUCCGACCUGCACGAAUGGCGUAAUGAUGGCCAGGCUGUCUCCACCCGAGACUCAGUGAAAUUGAACUCGCUGUGAAGAUGCAGUGUACCCGCGGCAAGACGGAAAGACCCCGUGAACCUUUACUAUAGCUUGACACUGAACAUUGAGCCUUGAUGUGUAGGAUAGGUGGGAGGCUUUGAAGCGUGGACGCCAGUCUGCGUGGAGCCAACCUUGAAAUACCACCCUUUAAUGUUUGAUGUUCUAACGUUGGCCCCUGACCGGGGUUGCGGACAGUGUCUGGUGGGUAGUUUGACUGGGGCGGUCUCCUCCCAAAGCGUAACGGAGGAGCACGAAGGUUAGCUAAUCCUGGUCGGACAUCAGGAGGUUAGUGCAAUGGCAUAAGCUAGCUUGACUGCGAGCGUGACGGCGCGAGCAGGUGCGAAAGCAGGUCAUAGUGAUCCGGUGGUUCUGAAUGGAAGGGCCAUCGCUCAACGGAUAAAAGGUACUCCGGGGAUAACAGGCUGAUACCGCCCAAGAGUUCAUAUCGACGGCGGUGUUUGGCACCUCGAUGUCGGCUCAUCACAUCCUGGGGCUGAAGUAGGUCCCAAGGGUAUGGCUGUUCGCCAUUUAAAGUGGUACGCGAGCUGGGUUUAGAACGUCGUGAGACAGUUCGGUCCCUAUCUGCCGUGGGCGCUGGAGAAUUGAGGGGGGCUGCUCCUAGUACGAGAGGACCGGAGUGGACGCAUCACUGGUGUUCGGGUUGUCAUGCCAAUGGCACUGCCCGGUAGCUAAAUGCGGAAGAGAUAAGUGCUGAAAGCAUCUAAGCACGAAACUUGCCCCGAGAUGAGUUCUCCCUGAGACUUUAAGUCUCCUGAAGGAACGUUAAAGACGAUGACGUUGAUAGGCCGGGUGUGUAAGCGCAGCGAUGCGUUGAGCUAACCGGUACUAAUGAACCGUGA